This 250-nucleotide unclassified non-coding RNA is filed under the name Hevea brasiliensis (rubber tree). Lineage: Eukaryota; Viridiplantae; Streptophyta; Magnoliopsida; Malpighiales; Euphorbiaceae. The record is from RNAcentral.
AAUGUUAGAAGGUGCAAAAGCCACAACGGAGACUGUUGAUGCUUUAAGAACUGGAGCAGCUGCAAUGAAAGCUAUGCAAAAGGCAACGAAUAUUGACGAUGUCGACAAAACAAUGGAUGAGAUCAAUGAGCAGACUGAGAAUAUGAAAUUGAUUCAGGAAGCAUUGUCAACUCCAAUUGGUUCAGCUGCUGAUUUUGAUGAAGAUGAAUUGGAAGCUGAACUUGAGGAGUUGGAGGGAGCAGAACUGGAG